UGAUGUCGAUUUAGAGGUUGUGGUCUUGAACCGUGGCUUCUGGAGCUAACGCGUUAAAUCGACCGCCUGGGGAGUACGGCCGCAAGGUUAAAACUCAAAUGAAUUGACGGGGGCCCGCACAAGCGGUGGAGCAUGUGGUUUAAUUCGAUGCAACGCGAAGAACCUUACCUACUCUUGACAUCCAGCGAAUCCUUUAGAGAUAGAGGAGUGCCUUCGGGAACGCUGAGACAGGUGCUGCAUGGCUGUCGUCAGCUCGUGUUGUGAAAUGUUGGGUUAAGUCCCGCAACGAGCGCAACCCUUAUCCUUUGUUGCCAGCGCGUGAUGGCGGGAACUCAAAGGAGACUGCCGGUGAUAAACCGGAGGAAGGUGGGGAUGACGUCAAGUCAUCAUGGCCCUUACGAGUAGGGCUACACACGUGCUACAAUGGCAGAUACAAAGAGAAGCGACCUCGCGAGAGCAAGCGGAACUCAUAAAGUCUGUCGUAGUCCGGAUUGGAGUCUGCAACUCGACUCCAUGAAGUCGGAAUCGCUAGUAAUCGUAGAUCAGAAUGCUACGGUGAAUACGUUCCCGGGCCUUGUACACACCGCCCGUCACACCAUGGGAGUGGGUUGCAAAAGAAGUAGGUAGCUUAACCUUCGGGAGGGCGCUUACCACUUUGUGAUUCAUGACUGGGGUGAAGUCGUACAAAGGGGGAACCCGAGACU
RNAcentral lists this ribosomal RNA (704 nucleotides) under Proteus terrae. RNAcentral's name for it is "bacterial SSU rRNA". It matches the Rfam family "Bacterial small subunit ribosomal RNA", at positions 807 to 1522 of the family's 1533-position model. Lineage: Bacteria; Pseudomonadati; Pseudomonadota; Gammaproteobacteria; Enterobacterales; Morganellaceae. The record is from RNAcentral.